GCCCAUGUCACCACUGGGCGACUUCAGACAACUGCCAAACCCCUGGCCCACCCCUGCCUUUACCCCCAAGCAGAAAGCUCAGGCAGCCUUGCACUUUAGCAAAUGGAAGGUGCCUGAAGGCCUCCCACCACUGGUAUCCCUCCCCCUCCCCUUUUAUGAAGAUGUAUUCACAGUGUGUGCACUUUUAAUUCUUCUGCUGUGGAGUAUAGGGUCAGGUUCAAGAUGUUGGCCUUGACCUUUAAAGCCCUUUGUGGCUUAGGGCCCUCGUAUUUACAGGACCGCCUCUCCUGGUCUGCCCCGCAGAGGACCUUAAAGUCCAUGAGCAACCAUAGUUUAGAGGUCCCGGGCCCUAAGUCAGACUAUCCUCCACCAGGGCCAGGGCCUUUUCAGUGAUGGCUCCGAUCUGGUGGAAUGCUCUGUCCCAUGAGACCAGGGCCCUGCAGGAUUUAACCUCCUUCCGUUGGGCCUGUAAGACAGAGCUAUUCCGCCUGGCCUUUAAUUUGAAUUUAGCCUGAUCUUUUAUUUCCCUUCUCUUCCCUCCCCCUCCCCUUUUAUGAAGAUUACCUGCUCUGAGACCCCACAGCUAAUUCUCCCCUGGCCUCCUCGCUGGCCCAAGUAGGACCAAUUCAGCCAACUAGCCCUGGUGAUUAUCUAAUCCUUAUUAUUAUUUUUUAUAAAAGUUUUUAUUAAUUUUCAAUACAAUAUACAUAUAAUACCAUAUCAAAGGUUUAUCACAAAUUAUAUAUUAUGGAGUUCCUUCAGCUUAUCUGCCAAUCAUCCGUAAUUAAAUUUUAGUUACGCAUUUCCUAAAUUUAAUAUUGCCUUUUUAUAUGCCUUCCUAAUCUUAUUUUCUUUUUUACAAUACUCCUCAACCUUUCACAGAGCUUCUUGAAAUCCCACGAGCGUUGUUUGUUCAUCACAUAUAUUUUUCAGAUAUUCUACAAAUUUUCCUCAGUCCUUGAUGAACUUAUGGUCUCGUUGAUAUCUAAUCUUCCCAGUUAAUUUGUCCAGUUCUGCAUAGUCCAUCAUUUUCAUUCUCCAUUCUUCCAGGGUCGGUAAUUCCUCCUGUUUCCAUCUUUGGGCCAUUAAUAUUCUCGCCGCUGUAACUGCAUAUUGGAAAAGUUUACAGUCCUUUCUAUUUAUUUCAUUUCCUACUAUUCCUAACAGAAGAGCUUCUGGUUUCUUUACAAAUGUAUAUUUCAACAUCUUUUUCAGUUCAUUAUAUAUCAUCUCCCAGAAACCCUUCACCUUCUUACAUUCCCUAUCUAAUGCUUAUUAGAUGGAUUUCCCCUAAAUUGGUUUCUGAACUUUGAAUUUUAUUGUUAUUCAUGUUUUUAUACCGUAUUUUAUGCUGCUUUUACAAUUAAGUGUUUUAAAUUUGUUGUUAGCCGCCCUGAGCCCAGUUUUAGAACCGGGAAGGGUGGGGUAUACCCUGUUUUCCCAAAAAUAAGACAGUGUCUUAUAUUACUUUUUGCUCCCAAAAAUGCUCUAGGUCUUAUUCUCAGGGGAUGUCUUAUUUUUCCAUGAAGAAGAAUACGGUACACAUUUAUUGUUGAACAAAAAAAAAGGAAAUUUAUUACCUGUAUACGGUACAACGUCUUACGGUAGCUUCGGGGGGCUUAUAUUCCGGGGUGGCCUUAUUAUCGGGGAGGCCUUAUAUUUGGAGGAGGCCUUAUAUUACAACAAGAGGCAAAACUGGAAGUAGGUCUUAUUUUGGGGGGAUGUCUUACUUUCGAGGAAACAGGGUAAAUAAAUUUUUAUUUUUAUUUUUUUUAAUUAUUAUUAUUAUUACAGGGCCAACAGGAACAUUACAAUAAGUCUGACAAAUUGUUAGCCUGCCUGGUUGAGGGCUGGCACCAGGAGGCACCAGGGCCAGCCCAGCCCAAGACAUUUUGGCACGUGAGGCAAAUCCACCAAGGAAGAAAGGGGGAAUGAAGAUCUACAUCAGGAACACAGAGGGAUAUAAAGAUGCACAUCAGGAUAUGCUGCACCGGUGGAUCCUGCCGCCUGAGGCGGUUGCCUCACCUUGCCUCAUGGGUGGGCUGGCUCUGGGUCAGUGGGAAGGGUUCAAUUCAAUCCCAUGGGUGCAGUUGCACAUGCUGGGAAGUAGGGAUCAUGCCAUAUUCUUCAUUAGGAAAACUGGGAUUUGUUUUUAUUUAUUUAUUUAUUUAUUUAAUAAUUUUUAUUGAAUGAUUUUAUAUUACAAAAAAACAUUACAACCAUACUACCACAAAAUACAAUUGAGAAAUAAAAAUUAC
Molecule: long non-coding RNA, 2258 nt
Filed under: Podarcis lilfordi (Lilford's wall lizard)
Lineage: Eukaryota; Metazoa; Chordata; Lepidosauria; Squamata; Lacertidae
Source: RNAcentral